CCUACGGGAGGCAGCAGUGGGGAAUAUUGCACAAUGGGGGAAACCCUGAUGCAGCGACGCCGCGUGAGUGAAGAAGUAUUUCGGUACGUAAAGCUCUAUCAGCAGGGAAGAAAAUGACGGUACCUGACUAAGAAGCCCCGGCUAACUACGUGCCAGCAGCCGCGGUAAUACGUAGGGGGCGAGCGUUAUCCGGAUUUACUGGGUGUAAAGGGAGUGUAGACGGCAACGCAAGUCUGGGGUGAAAUCCCAUGGCUUAACCAUGGAACUGCUUUGGAAACUGUGCAGCUAGAGUGCAGGAGAGGAAAGCGGAAUACCUAGUGUAGCGGUGAAAUGCGUGGAUAUUAGGAGGAACACCAGUGGCGAAGGCGGCUUACUGGACUGUAACUGACGUUGAGGCUCGAAAGCGUGGGGAGCAAACAGGAUUAGAUACCCUGGUAGUC
RNAcentral lists this ribosomal RNA (440 nucleotides) under uncultured bacterium. RNAcentral describes it as "partial 16S ribosomal RNA". It matches the Rfam family "Bacterial small subunit ribosomal RNA", at positions 338 to 795 of the family's 1533-position model. The record is from RNAcentral.